AGUCGAGGGGUAACAGAAAAGCUUGCUUUUGCUGACGACCGGCGCACGGGUGCGUAACGCGUAUGCAACCUACCUCAUACUGGAGGAUAGCCCCUGGAAACGGGGAUUAAUACUCCAUAGUAUCACAAUUUCGCAUGUUAUUGUGAUUAAAGUUUUUCGGUAUGAGAUGGGCAUGCGUCCCAUUAGCUUGUUGGUGAGGUAACGGCUCACCAAGGCAACGAUGGGUAGGGGGCCUGAGAGGGUGGUCCCCCACACUGGUACUGAGACACGGACCAGACUCCUACGGGAGGCAGCAGUGAGGAAUAUUGGUCAAUGGAGGAAACUCUGAACCAGCCAUGCCGCGUGAAGGAUGACGGCCCUAUGGGUUGUAAACUUCUUUUAUAGAGGAAGAAACUUGUCUACGUGUAGACAACUGACGGUACUCUACGAAUAAGGAUCGGCUAACUCCGUGCCAGCAGCCGCGGUAAUACGGAGGAUCCAAGCGUUAUCCGGAUUCAUUGGGUUUAAAGGGUCCGUAGGCGGAUUUUUAAGUCAGUGGUGAAAGCCGACAGCUCAAC
Molecule: ribosomal RNA, 557 nt
Filed under: uncultured marine bacterium
Lineage: Bacteria
Description: bacterial SSU rRNA
Rfam family: Bacterial small subunit ribosomal RNA
Source: RNAcentral